UUAUGGAAGAAGAAAAUUAGGACUUCUGCUUUCACUCCAACUGUGUCAAUUCCGAUUCCACUCUUUACCAAUGCUCCAACAUUAGCGUUGUUCUUCUGAUCUGCAAUGAAUCGUCUCAAGGCAAUUGUUGCGAACAUCAACUUCCUCGAGUCGCCACUCGCCAGCCGAGUCACUGCAACUCGGUCUCUUUAACUCACUCGGAAUCAGGAGACUGAUACCAUUUCUAAAUCCAAAAACACUCAAGAUUGCUAAGGCGAAUGCUUCAGCCAUCUUGCUCUCUGGAUCAGCCAUUUAGUGCUGCUAGCUGCUCAUCAUUGUAUUGUAUAUUAUAACGAGAAUGCUUAAGGGCACGAUACCUUCUUCGACUACCGGUACACGAAAUGCUAAAAUAAAUUAUCCGUGUUGCUGUUUGGUCUGCAUCUUUCCAUUUAUUUUUCUUCUAAUAAUUUGUUUGUCAAGAGUAGCAUUUAUUUACUGUUGUAAUUAAAAGAGAUUCAGUUGCAUAGGAGGUCUUGAAUUUGGUUUGAAGAGGGCAAAUGAAAGCUCAUGUUGAGACGAAGGACACUUUGAUGAGCUUUGAGCUACAAUACACUUGAAGGAACCUAAUAGGCUGAAGAAAUUAUACUCUGGAUUGUAGUUAAGUGAUGCAAAUGAAAACCUUUGUUCGUUUUUAA
This is a long non-coding RNA of Glycine soja, 674 nucleotides long. RefSeq lists it as uncharacterized. Lineage: Eukaryota; Viridiplantae; Streptophyta; Magnoliopsida; Fabales; Fabaceae. The transcript is spliced from 2 exons. The record is from RefSeq and is a predicted model, not a curated record.